RNAcentral lists this long non-coding RNA (700 nucleotides) under Oryza sativa Indica Group (long-grained rice). RNAcentral describes it as "lncRNA OsZS97_07G019040". Lineage: Eukaryota; Viridiplantae; Streptophyta; Magnoliopsida; Poales; Poaceae. The record is from RNAcentral.
CCGCAUCCUUUCCUUCUCGACAGAAUCCUCCGUCAGGGCACCCGGAGCCCCCGGCAGCGGCGGCGGCGAGAGCGGAGGCGGAAUUGGGGGAGGUGCGGCGGAAGCCGAAUCGGCGGAGGCGGGCAGUCUCCGCAAGUUACAGGCGAUAGAUGCCGGAGAGAGGGAGCGCGGGGCAGCGACCGGCGGUGGAUGACGAUCUUGACGCCGUCGAACACGACCGACUCCUUGGAACUCGCCAUACCGCUUCGGGGCAGGUGCCAGCCGUACUGCCUCCUAGCCGUGGCGUCCUCGAAGAACACGGCGAGGAUGGCGUCGAACGUCGAGCGCCGCAUCGGCUUGUCCCCUGAAUGGGCAGAAGCAGCCAAAUCUAACGUGUGUUAUGAAAAAUCCACACGAACAAGAUGUGAUGUGCAGGGACAUGUGACGGUGUCCUCGAAAAACACUGGGACAUGCCGCCGGAGUAGUCCACGAAGACGCAUGCAUCGAUGCGGUUGGCGGCUUGGCGCACUCGGAGAGGAGGAAGAAGGGAGGGCCACCCACCUCGGCGGGUGCCGGGGAGAAGGACAGGCGCGGCGAAUGCGACCGGCGGCCAGCGGGGGAGGAACGCGGGGGUGGCACAGUCGCCGGAGCCGUGCCUCCGCCGCUGCGCGCCCCUCCGUCCUCUCCCGCUGGCCGCCGCGGCGCCGCUGACUCUCCGUCC